This 650-nucleotide ribosomal RNA is filed under the name uncultured bacterium. RNAcentral's name for it is "bacterial SSU rRNA". It matches the Rfam family "Bacterial small subunit ribosomal RNA", at positions 57 to 753 of the family's 1533-position model. The record is from RNAcentral.
GCAGUCGACGGUUGUAGCAGUACAGCAGUGGCAGACGGGUGAGUAACACGUGGGAACCUACCUAGGGGUACGGAAUAACUCAGGGAAACUUGUGCUAAUACCGUAUACGACCUUCGGGUGAAAGAUUUAUCGCCCCUAGAUGGGCCCGCGUUGGAUUAGCUAGUUGGUGGGGUAAAAGCCUACCAAGGCGACGAUCCAUAGCUGGUCUGAGAGGAUGAUCAGCCACACUGGGACUGAGACACGGCCCAAACUCCUACGGGAGGCAGCAGUAGGGAAUCUUGGACAAUGGGCGAAAGCCUGAUCCAGCCAUGCCGCGUGAGUGAUGAAGGCCUUAGGGUUGUAAAGCUCUUUCGCCAGGGAAGAUAAUGACGGUACCUGGAUAAGAAGCCCCGGCAAACUUCGUGCCAGCAGCCGCGGUAAUACGAAGGGGGCUAGCGUUGUUCGGAAUUACUGGGCGUAAAGCGCACGUAGGCGGUUUUCCAAGUUGGAGGUGAAAUCCCUGGGCUCAACCCGGGAACUGCCUCCAAAACUGGAUGACUCGAGUCCGAGAGAGGUGAGUGGAAUUUCCAGUGUAGAGGUGAAAUUCGUAGAUAUUGGAAAGAACACCAGUGGCGAAGGCGGCUCACUGGCUCGGUACUGACGCUGAGGUG